RNAcentral lists this ribosomal RNA (644 nucleotides) under uncultured Actinomycetes bacterium. Its description in RNAcentral is "bacterial SSU rRNA". It matches the Rfam family "Bacterial small subunit ribosomal RNA", at positions 232 to 885 of the family's 1533-position model. The record is from RNAcentral. Lineage: Bacteria; Bacillati; Actinomycetota; Actinomycetes.
CGCGGCCUAUCAGCUUGUUGGUGAGGUAACGGCCCACCAAGGCGACGACGGGUAGCUGGUCUGAGAGGACGACUAGCCACACUGGAACUGAGAUACGGUCCAGACUCCUACGGGAGGCAGCAGUGGGGAAUAUUGCACAAUGGGCGAAAGCCUGAUGCAGCGACGCCGCGUGAGGGAUGAAGGCCUUCGGGUUGUAAACCUCUUUCGGCAGGGACGAAGCGAUCAGUGACGGUACCUGCAGAAGAAGCCCCGGCUAACUACGUGCCAGCAGCCGCGGUAAGACGUAGGGGGCGAGCGUUGUCCGGAUUCAUUGGGCGUAAAGCGCGCGUAGGCGGCUGCGCAAGUCGGGUGUGAAACCCCGGGGCUCAACCCCGGAACUGCAUCCGAUACUGCGUGGCUAGAGGUAGGUAGGGGAGAUCGGAAUUCCUGGUGUAGCGGUGAAAUGCGCAGAUAUCAGGAGGAACACCGGUGGCGAAGGCGGAUCUCUGGGCCUUACCUGACGCUCAGGCGCGAAAGCUAGGGGAGCGAACAGGAUUAGAUACCCUGGUAGUCCUAGCCGUAAACGUUGGGUGCUAGGUGUGGGCGGAUAUCGACCCCGUCCGUGCCGAAGCUAACGCAUUAAGCACCCCGCCUGGGGAGUACGG